GAAAGUUAUUGUUAUCUUAAUUUCCAUUUACAAUUUUUUUUUUUAAAUCAUUGUUUACUUUAUUCUAGGUAUGAAAGACUCUUGUGAAAUUGCCAUAUAUCUUGAUGUGCGAAAAGCAUUAAAAGAUGGCAUCAAACUUUUCAAAUCAAAAAAUGAUGUGAUACUAAGUGAAGGGAUUGGAGGAGUAAUCCAUCCACGUUACUUCAGACAGGUUAUUGACCGAAGAACAGGUUCAGAUGUAUUGGGAGUCGAGCAUGCUUUUCAGUCAUUGAACUUACAGUGACUACUUGAAGUUCAAAUGAUGUUAUCCUUCAGUGAAAACUGUUAAACUUUUCAAAUUAAAGCACUGAGUGAGUGAUUUUUCUUCCACCUACAUAUCUAUUCUACAGUCGCAGCUAAUUGACAAAUCUCUGGUGAACCCUCAUGGACAAAAUAUGUUUUGGUGAGAUGGCAACCUCAGGGGUGCAGAAAUGGAAAAUAUUUCACUAGCCGGCAGGACAAGAUCCAGCUAAAAUUUACUAGCCUGCCAGCGUAUAACACAAUAUAUUAUUAACAAUAUAAUAUACGCCGUCUUCACUUCAAGUGGUAUAUAUAUAUCAGGAAUUUACCUAGGAGUUCUGUGGGUCUGAACAUUCAAUUAUGUUUGUUCCAAUAAAUGAAUUUAACAGUGGCUUACUGCAUCAUUCAGUGGUCUGAAAUUUUUUCCAAAGUGUGACUUACUCGCGCUAAUUUUCCCAAUCCCACCAGACAUGGGACCAUGGUGAAAAAUCCAGAAUAAAACCCUAUAUACAUUGACAAAACAUUAGUAAGAACUCUUGGUAAGUGAUCAACAUCACGUAACAAACGAAAUCAAGCCCCAAACCUUGAUUGACAAAUCAAUAAAUUGUCAUAUAUUUUGGUAAAGACAAAGUUUUUCACGUUUCUUUUAUAUUGAAAGUAUGAUACAGUAAAAUAAUAUUUAUAUAUUUAUGUCAUGGCAACAGCUUGGUGCUGAAAAAAAUAACCCUCUCGUCAAAAAAUAAGUAUUUUGUAAAUUUUAAACUCCACAGCAGAAUUAUAAUGUUUCUCCAGGGUGACUUAGAGUCCCUGCAAUAUUUUAUUGUCAGAAAACCGUGUGUUAUAUUAUUGUACAUGGGUUUGACACAAGUUUUAUUAGAAUGUUAAAUCAACAACAGAAAACUUGAAUAAAUGAUCAAACUUUGAAACAGGCGACAUUCGAUUCAGGGGCAGGAUUUAGCUCAGUCGGUUGAGUGCUCGUCUGAGGUGCUUGUUUAUAGAAACGGUGUCCGGUUAAUUUAUUUCUCGUAAAAUAUAAGUACCAAGAUAGCGAAAUAUACCUAAAC
Molecule: long non-coding RNA, 1343 nt
Organism: Gigantopelta aegis
Lineage: Eukaryota; Metazoa; Mollusca; Gastropoda; Neomphalida; Peltospiridae
Exons: 3
Source: RefSeq, a predicted model, not a curated record